Long non-coding RNA from Zingiber officinale, 890 nucleotides. RefSeq lists it as uncharacterized. The transcript is spliced from 3 exons. The record is from RefSeq and is a predicted model, not a curated record. Lineage: Eukaryota; Viridiplantae; Streptophyta; Magnoliopsida; Zingiberales; Zingiberaceae.
UUUUCUUCUUUACUCGCCCGACUCUUCUCCUCUUCCCCCUUUUUCUCCCGACGCCGACUCUUGCCAAAACCGCCACGCGACGGUUCCCUCUCCUCUUCCCCUUCUUCCGCGAACGUCUAAGCCCUCUCUGCCAUCUCUCUCAAGCGACGACAAGCAAGGAAAGGCCUCUUUCCCUGAAACCCUAGCUUCCACCCGAGCCCUUCACCUCUUCCCUUUCACUCAGCAAAGCGGCAGGCGGCUGAUGCUAGGUUACCGUUUCGAGCCGGCCAGAGGAGGAGCGUGCGGGAGCGACUGCACAAGCAGAGUUCUUGGCAGGGGGCUCCGGCGAGCAUUCGACGAUGCGACGCUUAGGGACACCGGGGAGCUGGUGCUGAUCCGGGCGACCUCGCCAUCGGGGGCUGUCAUCUAUUUCACCGAUUGUCAUUUCUUUCUCUCCCUCUGCCGCCUUCGAUCUCCUCUGCCGCCGCCACUGCUCGAUUACUCCCGUCAUCGGAAGGGAGUAAUCGACGAAAGGGUUAGGGCGGCCAACCUCUCUCGCUGCCGGAUUCGAACAAAGCAGCGGUGAUUUCAUCGAGAAGGUUCGCUGUUCUUUCGAUGCACUAGAGUUCAUCUCGGUGGCUUGCAAAUCCGCCUUGGCGAUUUGUUUUGGCUGCUGCCAUAGAAGCCACAAGGUUCCAGCAGCACCUCCUCGUCGAAUCCUUGGUCCUCACAGGUAGUUAGAGGUAGAGGGUGUUUCUUGGUUCAGCAGUUGAGGCAUCGGAUUUGGAUAAGAAAUGCUGGGUAGUAGAUGUAGCAUCGAUCUGAUUUCAGUUUGCUGGUUGAGAUAUUGAGGACUUUGAUGCGAGACGAGCAUCUCGACGUUAGAUUUGGACUUUUCGAUUGGAGGCGGG